AUGAAGAUCAAUGCUCCUUUAGAACUUUUGAUACCAGUCAUGGGUGUCUCGUCUUCGACAGCAGUCGUGGUUGUGGUCACGAUUGUCUCUUCUCUGACAGCAGUCACGGUGGUCUCUUCUCCAACCGCAGGCGCGGUUGUGGUCACGGUUGUCUCUUCUCCAAGCGCUGGCGUGGUUGUGGUCACGGUUGUCUCUUCUCCAACCGCAGGCGUGGUUGUGGUCAUGGUUGUCUCUUCUCCAAUUGGAGUAGUGGGUGCAGCUGUGCCACCUCCGGCUGCAGUCAUGACACCUCCGGCGACAACACCUCCGGCUGCAGCUGUGUCACCUCCGGCUGCAGUCAUGACACCUCCGGCGACACCACCUCCGGCUGCAGUCAUGACACCUCUGGCGACACCACCUCCGGCUGCAGCUGUGCCACCUCCGGCCACACCACCUCCGGCUGCAGUCGCGCCACCUCCGGCUGCAGUCAUGACACCUCCGGCGACACCACCUCCAACCACAACACCUCCAGCCACAACACCUCUGCCUGCACCACUUUGAAACUUAGUUGCAUCAUCUUUGACUUCAGCCAGAUCAUCUUUGACCUCAGUCAUGCAUUCUUCAAUCUCAGGCAUGUCUGACAGUUCUUUGAUCGUGGUCAUGGAUGCUGAUUUUAAUCCUUGAGGUGCAUCAAUUUUUUUGAGUGUUCUUUCAGUUUCCAAAUUUUCCUGUGGAAACUGUUUAGCAAUAUAUUUUGUAACUGCUUCAUAAUGAACUGGGUUGCCAUUGUUGUCAAGGGCAGCCACAACAUAAUCACAUCUUUGACAAACUUUUGGAACUCCAUUUUCUAAUUUGACAUCAUAAAUAUACAUUUUGUUCUUGCUUCUGUAUAAAAUGUUAUUAUGAGCUUUAAUUUCAUAUUCAGGGUCACGUGUGAAUAUUUUACUGAUAUCAUUGAAAUCUUGUCUUGCCAUGAAGGACUGUGUCUCUGGUUCGUGAAACUUUGUAUUCUUGUUCACACAUUUUUUUCUGUAAUUCAUUGAAUCAUCCCACUUCUCCUUCCAAUACUCUGUGUCACAUGGAGAUUUAGGACUAUCCACUAGAUGUUUUUUAUUAAAAUCACGAGCUCUGGGAGCACGUUUGUAUCUAUUGUGCAAUUUUGGACAAAUACACAAAAAUUCUUUCUGAGUAUUGAUUGAAUUUAUAUCAAUGUUUGAAUAGAAUCCUCCAGGAAAAUGUUGGCUUUCUUUGUCUUGUUGAAACACCAUGAUACUGCAGGUUUUUUCCACCUAAAAAGAAAAAGAUUUACAACCAUGGUCAAAUGAUGUAAAGAUAUAUGACAGUGAUACUUCAGAGGUAACUCCCUUGAAAAAGUUCACCACCCUUGAUAAUUUUGUUGAUGUGAUGCAAUUGCUUAAUUUUUGGGUGUUCUAUGCAAGCAUUGCUAUCUUGAUCUUGAUGCUAACACUAUCUUGUAACCAGUGCAGAGAGAUAAACAAAGGAGUAAGAUGGGCUCAUUGAAGACCAGUAAUGCUGCUGCAUUUUGGAUCAUUUGUAUAGGUUUGAUUGCACAUGAUGGAAUUUCAAUGACACAUCCAGUGAAAUGCCUGCACUCAAUUGUCAAAUCAUCAUAGGUAAGUCGCAAUGGCAACACACUAGCAUUAGUUUAAUUAGUUUAUUUGUUUGUAGGAGUAAUGCACAUUAAUAAACAUGGCUGUAAAUGUAACA
This is a long non-coding RNA of Cyprinus carpio (common carp), 1707 nucleotides long. NCBI's taxonomy places the organism in Eukaryota, Metazoa, Chordata, Actinopteri, Cypriniformes, Cyprinidae. The record is from Ensembl.